GACGGACGCUGGCGGCGUGCUUAACACAUGCAAGUCGAACGGUUAAGCGCCUUCCGUUGUGGUGGGGGUGGAUGAGUGGUGCACGGGUGAGUAACACGGGAGGAACCUGCCCCCUUCUUCUGGAUAACCGCAUGAAAGUGUGGCGGAUACGGGAUAGUCUGGGUCUGGCUCAUGAUGGGUCUAGGAGAGGUGUUGUUUCGGUGGGGGAUGGGAUCUCGGCCUAUCAGCUUGUUGGUGGGGUGAUGGCCUACCAAGGCGGUGACGGGUAGCCGGCCUGAGAGGCUGGACGGUUACACUGUGUCUGAGACACGGCCCAGAGUCCUACGGGAGGCAGCAGUGCGGAAUCUCGCACAAUGCGCGACCGCCCGAUGCAGCGCCGCCGCGUGAGGGAUGGACCCCUUCGGGGUGUGAAGCUCUCUCGCGAGUGAAGGAGGUCUGCCUCGUGUGUGGGUGGGUUGACGGUAGCUGGAUAAGAAGCGUGGGCUCCCUAUGUG
RNAcentral lists this ribosomal RNA (494 nucleotides) under uncultured bacterium. Its description in RNAcentral is "partial 16S ribosomal RNA". It matches the Rfam family "Bacterial small subunit ribosomal RNA", at positions 28 to 507 of the family's 1533-position model. The record is from RNAcentral.